Molecule: ribosomal RNA, 468 nt
Filed under: uncultured bacterium
Lineage: Bacteria
Description: bacterial SSU rRNA
Rfam family: Bacterial small subunit ribosomal RNA
Source: RNAcentral
ACUCCUACGGGAGGCAGCAGUGGGGAAUUUUGGACAAUGGGGGCAACCCUGAUCCAGCCAUGCCGCGUGAGUGAAGAAGGCCUUCGGGUUGUAAAGCUCUUUCGGCCGGGAAGAAAUCGUGUUCUCUAACAUAGGACAUGGAUGACGGUACAGGACUAAGAAGCACCGGCUAACUACGUGCCAGCAGCCGCGGUAAUACGUAGGGUGCGAGCGUUAAUCGGAAUUACUGGGCGUAAAGCGUGCGCAGGCGGUUUUGUAAGACAGAUGUGAAAUCCCCGGGCUUAACCUGGGAACUGCGUUUGUGACUGCAAGGCUAGAGUACGGCAGAGGGGGGUGGAAUUCCUGGUGUAGCAGUGAAAUGCGUAGAUAUCAGGAGGAACACCGAUGGCGAAGGCAGCCCCCUGGGCCUGUACUGACGCUCAUGCACGAAAGCGUGGGGAGCAAACAGGAUUAGAUACCCUGGUAGUC